This 468-nucleotide ribosomal RNA is filed under the name uncultured bacterium. RNAcentral's name for it is "partial 16S ribosomal RNA". It matches the Rfam family "Bacterial small subunit ribosomal RNA", at positions 28 to 507 of the family's 1533-position model. The record is from RNAcentral.
GACGAACGCUGGCGGCGUGCUUAACACAUGCAAGUCGAACGGAAAGGCCCUGCUUUUGUGGGGUUCUCGAUUGGCGAACGGGUGAGUAACACGUGAGUAACCUGCCCUUGACUUUGGGAUAACUUCAGGAAACUGGGGCUAAUACCGGAUAGGAGCUCCUGCUGCAUGGUGGGGGUUGGAAAGUUUCGGCGGUUGGGGAUGGACUCGCGGCUUAUCCGCUUGUUGGUGGGGUAGUGGCUUACCAAGCCUUUGACGGGUAGCCGGCCUGAGAGGGUGACCGGCGACAUUGGGACUGAGAGACGGACCAGAAGCCUACGGGAGGCAGUAGUGGGGAAUAUUGCACAAUGGGCGGAAGCCUGAUGCAGAAACGCCGCGAGCGGGAUGACGGCCUUCGGGUUGUAAACCGCUUUGGCCUGUGACGAAGCGUGAGUGACGGUAAUGGGUAAAGAAGCACCGGCUAACUACGUG